Long non-coding RNA from Callithrix jacchus (white-tufted-ear marmoset), 2014 nucleotides. NCBI's taxonomy places the organism in Eukaryota, Metazoa, Chordata, Mammalia, Primates, Cebidae. The record is from Ensembl.
GCCACACCCAGGAACAAAUCAGAAACUUCACCAGGCCAAAAGGAAGCCCAGCCCUAACCCAGAGGCAGAACUUCAGCAGGACUUUUUCUAGCAGCAGAGGAGAGCCAGUCCCUGAAGGGGAUAAGGAGAGGAUGUCAAUGUGGGAAGUCUUGAUGGAUGUCCAAGUUUCCCAGGUUCUAAAUUUAUUGUAAUUUAAUCAUGUUCAUCUCUGAGGACAGUACUAGGCGAUUGCUCUGCAGGGAAUUGAAGGCCCUUCGAUCAUCACUACCUGUCAAGCCUAGGAGCCUUGAAGGGAGGCAUUACCCCGUGAGAUUUGCUUGGCCCCACCUGCCCCUGGACCUCAUUUGCUUGCUCACUGUCAUCUCAGAUGCUACCACUGCCAUCACUUUAUCCUCUAACACUGCCAGCCAUCUCGGCCACCCCACAGAGCAGGAGCUGGGCUGUGGCAUGGCCUCCAGCAUGCCCACUGAGGUGUGAGGUUCAGCAGCUCCACUGCCUACAUCUAACCCAGCUGGAGGCUCUGGCUUUCCCUGCAGCUGCCUCAACGGUGAGUCUCUAAAUGAUAAGAAGCAAGAGGCUGGAAGGAGUCAGCAGAUAAGUUCUUCUUCACCUCUGCUUUUUCAAAGGACUGUUCCAAGAUCUUCCAACAGUGUUCCUUACCUUUCCUCCAAAGAUUUCCCAUGGGACCAAACAGCUCACUGUUGGUCUUCUUGUAAGGCUGUGGCAAACUCAGUAACACACGAGAGUUUGUAUUUCCUUUCCCUCCUUUCCUGCUUCCUCUUUUGUAGCCCUCAUUCUGGCCACCUUAGGACUGCACUUUUCAGUCAAAUGUUAGCAUGUUUGACUCAGGCUCUCUGUUCUAAAGAACACAGCCUAAAACAGCCUUCAUUAUGGCUUCUCUCUCUCCAGGUGGAGGCAUUAAUUUAGGCAAACUGCCCAUCUCUAGCCACUUGCUACUGUAUUUUCUUCCUCUAACUUCUGUGUCUCCCCAAUGGGAGAUUUGAAAGUGGGCUUGUAUAUCUUGCCAGCUGUUGCACAACUGAUUAUAGUCACUUUAUUUUUAUUUCAUUAAUUUUUGGGUUAUACCUGGAGUUUGGAGUUUCAGGAUGCCCUUGCUUGAUUUAUCAAAAAUCAAAUAUAAAUCUGUGUACACGUCUUUCCUGGGAUCUAGAGAGCAAUAAAAUCCCACUCACACAGACCCUGAUCAGACACCGCAAUCGUGCAGCAAAACACCGCCAAACCAAUCACUUCCACUGGCGGAGUUCACCAAGGGGUAGCAUUUCCCAAUGUCAGAGCCAUGGAAUGCCAGUUGUUUGGGAUUAGUAGACGUUUGUCUCAAAACUUAAAUGACGCUGUAUUCAAAUACACUUAAGUGGCUCAAGGUUAAACAAAAUUAAAUCGUUUCCUUCACCCUAUAGGAUUACAGAGACAUGGCUAUCAUAUUGUAUAAUGUUCUCGCCUGCAGCAUUUUCAGAAUUUAUUGGGACACAUCUUUUUUUCCUAAACAUCUCAUAGGAUUGAUGCUAAACAAAUACUGAGUUUCCAUGGCAGAAAUUCCAGAAGUAUCAGCCCCUGGGAAGAAAUCUUCCUACUCUUCAGACUUCAAGUUCCAAAGUCUUUGGGUCCCUUUUGAAUACAAUUCUUCUGAUCCUUUGAGAAAAUACUAGAAGUCUACAUCUGCAGACCUGUCGAAUAAAUAAAAGCUGGGCUUAACCAUCAAGAACCAACUCUAGGCAAUGCCCAUUUCCUUCUUCCUGUUCUUUUCCACGUACAGGAUCAUUUUUUUCAUAGUUCUCCCACUUGCUUUCCACAUAAUGUUACAGCUACUCCGCCCUCCCCUACUAAUACCCACUAUUAAUCUAAGGAUGCAUUCCCAGCGUAAGGAAGAACCACAUAUCUCCUUCCUGGCCUGUGUAUUCCUACACAUGCCCCUGUCCCUACCCAACUCAACUGAGAUCAGCAGUUACUGUAUGGUGUUCUUUUCUCCUUACCCACCAGUGCUCCCCUAACUCAC